Long non-coding RNA from Cyprinus carpio carpio, 1665 nucleotides. The record is from Ensembl. NCBI's taxonomy places the organism in Eukaryota, Metazoa, Chordata, Actinopteri, Cypriniformes, Cyprinidae.
UGGAUUUCAUGAGAGCUACACAUUCCAAAAAAAGUUGGGACAGGUAGCAGUAAGAGGCCGGAAAAGUUAAAUGUACAUAUAAGGAACAGCUGGAGGAGCAAUUUGCAACUUAUUAGGUCAAUUGGCAACAUUGGGUAUAAAAAGAGCCUCUCAGAAGCCGUGUUUCCACCGCUGGAACUUUGGGCUGGUACUCGGUGCUUUCAAGUUACGCCUUCCUAGGAAGGCAGCCCCACGCUAGGCACCCCCUGCACGUUUGCCUAACACUCCUGCCAUGGGAAGACAUUUUCACCAGGGCAAGGAAAGGCCCUGCAACAAACCCCCUCCAAGGCAGAAUAACCCACCACCUGCUAAGCCCUGGGGAAAAUCGACUCCCGCCACGGUCGCGGGUGGAAGACCAUCUAAGCCUACCCCCAUCGACUCGAAAUGUAAGCGGCCUGCCUGAUGUUCGGCAGAUAGGGGCAUCGAGUCCGCGUUCACGGGCCACGAGCCCUUUGGACUCUCUUCCUGUCCCAAAACCCCCGUACAAAAGACGAAGGGUCUCCUGCGGAUGGAUCAGUUCCCCUCCUUUCGAGGCUGCCCAGCCCAUGUGUUUAAUGAACGUUGUGUGUUCCCCCCUCACGUUCAGGGGGUCUGUUGUGAGGAAAAGUGCAGAAGCAGUGUCACCACACCGCAUACACUCUGUUCCCCUCACCCAAUUAAUAAAGGCUUCGGCCCCAGUGUUUCCCCAACAGGAAACACACACAAAAAAAAAACACAUUAAAACAAACUAAUCAAAUGAAUUUGUUACGGAGAGAGGAUCUCUCUGGAAGAGCGCCACUGGAAGAGCGCAGACUUUUACGCACAGGGAACCCCCCUGGGGACGGUUAUGAUGCGGAAAGUUGUGACGACAGAUGCGUCCUUAACAGGCUGGGGCACCACCCAGGAGGGCAGAACGGUGAACGGUCUGUGGCCGAACAGACUACGUUCAGCGCACAUAAAUUAUUUAGAGCUUAUGACUGUAUGGAAAGCUCUGAAUCAUUUUCUGCCUCGCCUGCAGGGACAUUAUGUGCUCGUACGCUGCGACAAUACCACGGCAGUGGCUUAUAUCAACCGUCAGGGCGACGUGUGCUCGUUGAAACUUCACGCUCUAGCUUACAAGCUUUUGGUGUGGCGCAGACGGGUUUUCCUGUUGUUACGCACGACUCAUGUUCCGGGCUUUCUAAACAGAGGCGCGGAUCUUCUAUCGAGGGGAAACCCAAUCUACGGAGAUUGGCGCCUUCACCCGCAGACAGUGGAUAUGUUAUGGAUGAGAUUCAGACAGGCAACCGUAGACCUAAUGCCUCACGCGAAAACUACCAUUGUCCUAUGUUCUUCUCGCUAAAGGACGUGGACGCGCCCCUCUGUGUAGAUGCACUGGCCCACCCAUGGCCCAGAGUGCUGCUGUAUGCUUUUCCUCCCCUGUGCCUGAUAACUCCCACACUGGCCAGGGUGAGAGAGCAGGACCUGUCUCUCUUUCUGAUAACACCCAGGUGGCCCAAAGCACCAUGGCUGGCGGAGAUAAUCCCUCUGUUAUAUGCCGAGCCGUGGCGCCUCCCCCCCCCACACGGACCUAUUGCCAAGCGAACGGGGAGAUUUAUCACCAGCACCUGGAAAGGAUGGCUCUUUGGGCCUGGCCCGUGAGAGGAC